Small nuclear RNA from Pygocentrus nattereri (red-bellied piranha), 164 nucleotides. Its record names the gene U1. It matches the Rfam family "U1 spliceosomal RNA". From Rfam's summary of the family: U1 is a small nuclear RNA (snRNA) component of the spliceosome (involved in pre-mRNA splicing). The record is from Ensembl. NCBI's taxonomy places the organism in Eukaryota, Metazoa, Chordata, Actinopteri, Characiformes, Serrasalmidae.
AUACUUACCUGGCAGGGGCGAUACCAUGAUCACAAAGGUGGUUCACCCAGGGCGAGGCUCUGCCACUGCACUUGGGUGGUGCUGACCUUUGCGAAUUCCCCAAACGCAGGAAUCUUGACUGCAUAAUUUCUGGUAGUGGGGGACUGCGUUCGCGCUCUCCCCUG